This 322-nucleotide ribosomal RNA is filed under the name uncultured eukaryote. RNAcentral's name for it is "partial 18S ribosomal RNA". It matches the Rfam family "Eukaryotic small subunit ribosomal RNA", at positions 1470 to 1796 of the family's 1831-position model. The record is from RNAcentral.
CCCUUAGAUGUUCUGGGCCGCGCGCGUGCUACACUGAGUGGAUCAGCGGGUCAGGUUGCGCGAAAGUGUUUCCUAAUCUUGAAAUCCGCUCGUGAUGGGGAUUGACGGUUGCAAUUUUCCGUCAUGAACGAGGAAUACCUUGUAAGCGCGGGUCAUCAUCCCGCGCUGAAUACGUCCCUGCCCUUUGUACACACCGCCCGUCGCUCCUACCGAUUGAGUGGUCCGGUGAGGCUUUGGGAUCUGAGCAAAAAGAGCGUUUCGCUCGUUUGGCUCGGAAAACUCAGUCGAACCUUAUCAUUUAGAGGAAGGAGAAGUCGUAACA